UAAGAUUUAUAAAAUUUAUUAAAAAUUUAUUUUACAUAUAAAUUAUUGUAUUAAUUAAUAAUUAUUUUAAUAAUAAUUUAUUAUAUAUUUAUUAGUAAUUAAUAUUAAAUUAUAUAAGAAAUUAUUAUUUAGUAAUAUAAGAAUUAUUAACAAAUUUUGUGCCAGCAGUUGCGGUUAUACAAAAAAUAAAAUAAAUUUUAUUAGUAAUUAAUAAAUAAUUAAUUUUUAAAUUAAAUAUUAAAUUUUUAAGUGAAAUUUUAAUUUAAUUAAAAUUUAAAUAAAAUUAUAAUUUAAUAAAUUCAAAUUUUUUUAAACUAGGAUUAGAUACCCUAUUAUUAUGAAAUUAAAUUUUAAUACUAAAAUAUUAUAUAAUUAUUUAUAAAAACUUAAUUAAAUUGGCGGUAUUUUAUUUAAUUUAGAGGAAUCUGUUAAAUAAUUGAUAAUCCACGAUUAAAUUUACUUAAUUUAUAAGUUUAUAUAUCGUUGUUAAAAAAAUAUUUUUAAAAAAAAAUAAUAUUUAAAAAUUUUAAAAAUAAAUUAAAUCAAAUCAAGAUGUAUCUCAUAAUUAAGAAUUAAUGGAUUAUAAUAAAUUUAUUUAAAUGAAUUUAAAAUUUAAAUAUUUUAAUGAAGGUAGAUUUAAAUGUAAUUUUAUUUAAUUUAAUAAAAUGAUUUUAAAUUAAAAUAUGUACAUAUUGCCCGUCACUUUCAUAAAUAAAUUGAAAUAAGUCGUAACAAAGUAGAGGUAUUGGAAAAUGUUUCUAGAAAGAA
RNAcentral lists this ribosomal RNA (768 nucleotides) under Atteva aurea. Its description in RNAcentral is "12S ribosomal RNA". Lineage: Eukaryota; Metazoa; Arthropoda; Insecta; Lepidoptera; Attevidae. The record is from RNAcentral.